This 187-nucleotide non-coding RNA is filed under the name Triticum aestivum (bread wheat). RNAcentral describes it as "Bacterial small subunit ribosomal RNA". It matches the Rfam family "Bacterial small subunit ribosomal RNA", at positions 570 to 751 of the family's 1533-position model. The record is from Rfam by way of RNAcentral. RNAcentral also lists the same sequence under 1 other name. Lineage: Eukaryota; Viridiplantae; Streptophyta; Magnoliopsida; Poales; Poaceae.
UAUAGGUGACUUUUCAAGUCGGUCGUCAAAUCCCAAGACACAAUCCUGGACAGGCGGUGAAACUACCAACCUGGAGUAUGGUAUGGGCAGAGAGAAUUUCCAGUGGAGCGGAGAAAUGCAUUGAGAUUCGAAAAAACACUAAUGCCAACGCCGAGAGCACUUUGUUGGAGCAACACUGACACUAAGA